RNAcentral lists this ribosomal RNA (253 nucleotides) under uncultured bacterium. RNAcentral describes it as "partial 16S ribosomal RNA". It matches the Rfam family "Bacterial small subunit ribosomal RNA", at positions 524 to 776 of the family's 1533-position model. The record is from RNAcentral.
UACGUAGGGUGCAAGCGUUGUCCGGAAUUAUUGGGCGUAAAGGGCUCGUAGGCGGUCCAUCACGUCGGGAGUGAAAAGCUGGGGCUUAACCCCAGUCCUGCUUCCGAUACGGGUGGACUAGAGGUAGGCAGGGGAGAACGGAAUUCCUGGUGUAGCGGUGAAAUGCGCAGAUAUCAGGAAGAACACCCGUGGCUAAGGCGGCUCUCUAGUACGGUACUGACGCUGAGACGCGAAAGCGUGGGGAGCGAACAGG